Molecule: ribosomal RNA, 444 nt
Filed under: uncultured bacterium
Lineage: Bacteria
Description: SSU rRNA
Rfam family: Bacterial small subunit ribosomal RNA
Source: RNAcentral
AGAACGAACGCUGGCGGCAUGCCUAACACAUGCAAGUCGAACGAGACCUUCGGGUCUAGUGGCGCACGGGUGCGUAACGCGUGGGAAUCUGCCCAAAGGUUCGGAAUAACUCAGGGAAACUUGAGCUAAUACCGGAUGAUGUCGCAAGACCAAAGAUUUAUCGCCUUUGGAUGAGCCCGCGUAGGAUUAGCUUGUUGGUGAGGUAACGGCCCACCAAGGCUUCGACGGGUAGCUGGUCUGAGAGGACGAUCAGCCGGAUUGGGACUGAGAUACGGCCCAGACUCCUACGGGGGGCAGCAAUUAGGAAUCUUGCGCAAUGGGCGAAAGCCUGACGCAGCGACGUCGCGUGAAGGAUGAAAUCUUUCGGGAUGUAAACUUCUUUUUCGGGAAGAAACAAAUGACGGUACCGAAGAAUAAGCCCGCUAACUACGUGCCAGCAGCCGC